UCCUGCGGCUUAAUUUGACCCAACACGGGAAACCUCACCCGGCCCGGACACGGAAAGGAUUGACAGAUUGAUAGCUCUUUCUCGAUUCUGUGGGUGGUGGUGCAUGGCCGUUCUUAGUUGGUGGAGCGAUUUGUCUGGUUAAUUCCGAUAACGAACGAGACUCCGGCAUGCUAACUAGUUACGCGGCCCCGUGCGGUCGGCGUCCAACUUCUUAGAGGGACAAGUGGCGUUCAGCCACACGAGAUUGAGCAAUAACAGGUCUGUGAUGCC
This 270-nucleotide ribosomal RNA is filed under the name Cyprinodon variegatus (sheepshead minnow). Its description in RNAcentral is "partial 18S ribosomal RNA". It matches the Rfam family "Eukaryotic small subunit ribosomal RNA", at positions 1182 to 1471 of the family's 1831-position model. The record is from RNAcentral. Lineage: Eukaryota; Metazoa; Chordata; Actinopteri; Cyprinodontiformes; Cyprinodontidae.